UAGAUUUCCCCAUUACUUAUUAGACAAAAUCCCUAAGUUCCUAAGCUUAGUACAUUCAUAGGUUUCAUUACCCUGGCUCAAAACUAUCCCCCACCAAAAUAACUAACGAUCUAUCAUUUAUAUUUCUAUGUCUUUGACAAAUUAUAUCAGUGGAGUAUUUAUACACACUAUAUAUACAUAUUUUCUUUCUUCCUUUGUGUACACACACCUUCUUCCAACCAGACAGCGCAGAGGGGCAAGAUUGACAAUAUCUUGUCCAGGUAUGAAUCUUAUCCCUCACUCAGGGCUUUCCUCUUACAGUGAUGCAAUGGUCCUCAGUGGAAGAGAGGCAAUCAAUAUCUGGCUAUUCUGUUCUGAACCUUCAUCUCCUUCCUGCAAUUAGAUGCUGUCAGACUUCUCUUAGGUAAGGAAAAGUUAAUUUACAUAGUACGCUAAGGUGAUGAUAGGUAUCUUCUAAUGGAUCCUGAGAUCUAGGGCAGAGCAAAGGGUUGGUCACAGCCACUGCCUGGAAUAGAAAACCUCAGGGGCUCCUGGGUGACAGAAUGGUUGAGUGUCUGCCUUCAGCUCAGGGUGUGAUCCUGGAGUCCUGGGAUCGAGUCCCACAUCAGGUUCCCUGCAUAGAGCCUGCUUCUCCCUCUGCCUCUGUCUCUGCCUCUCUCUGUGUGUGUAUGUCUGUCAUGAAUAAAUAAAUAAAUAAAACCUUUAAAACAAAAAUGAAAACCUCAGAGAUCAGUUCAGUGUGUCCAGGGUCAGCUCUACAAAUCACCCCUAUGCCUGCUGAUCCAUAUAAGGUAGAGCAUAGGAUAUAGGUAUACCAUAACCAAUGAAAAGAAAAAGAAAAUUAUAAAAUCUUAGGCUUGUUAGCAUAGUUAUUUAAUCCUGAAGCUACUUCAUGUCCUGAUCAUUCUUUCUGACAUCAUUGUUGGCUUAAGAAAGUAGCCCAAGGUCCACUUCUGCUAAAGUCUGUCAGAUUUGAAGAAUUGUCCAGCUGUCCAUGUUGUCUGGGAUCUUUGGCCUCCUGAGACUGGUCAGAGCUGGGUGGGUGUACGGGAAGCAUAUCGCUUCAGAGUUUGUCAUUAGCACUCAGGAGGUACAAUGACCCCUUUCUCUAUUGUCAAUUUGACUGACUUUUCCCUGCCAGAUGCCAAAGGUGAAUUCAUAGAAGGUCUGGUCUAAAGAGACUUCAAAGUAGUUAACAGUUAUGUAUUCGUUUUCUAUUUCUGCUGUAAUAAAUUACCACAAACUUGGUGACUUUGAACAAUGCGAACUUAUUAGCUCACAGUUCAGCCAGUUGGAAGUCCAGAUGGACUUGGCUGAACUCUGCUUUUGGUCUCUCACAAGACAGAUCAAGUGUUUGCCAGCCUGGGCUCUUCUCUGAAGUCUCUGGCCUCUGGGAACCUCUCUCAGCUUUUUCAGGCCACUUUCUCCCUCCAGGAAUUAUUUCUUUCACCAGCCAUAUCUCCAAACCAGCAAUGCCACAUGAUCCCUUCUUACACUUUAAGACUUUCUCACUUCUGCAGCAUCCUUUCUCUCUCCAGCUAGAGAAGAGUUUCUGCUUUUAAGGGCUCAUAUAAUUGUAUUGGGCACAAAUAAUCCAAGAUUAUCUCCCUACUUUAAGAUCUUGAAUUAAAUUUGAAAGUCUCUUUUGCCUUGUAACUUAACAUACUUAAAAUUUUCUGAGGAUGAUGGGGUGGGCAUCUUUGAGGGUUAUAAUUCUGUCUUCUACAAAUCAUGAAUAGGAUAGAGGAACACAGUGAAAAUAAAGAAGGCAUAUGGACCACAUUUUUCUACAUAAUGGAAGCUCAUGGCUACAAUGAAAUUGAGAGGAAGAUAUAGAGAUUUCCCAUAUACCUCCAGCUCCCAUAGACUCAGGCUCCCCCAUUAUUGAUAUCCCUAUCAGAAUAGUAUAGUUAUUACUAUUUAUUAACUAUUUAUGAACACAUAAAUCACUGAAGCCCAUUAUUUACCUUAGAGUUUACUCUUGAUGGAGUACAUUCUAAGGAUUUUAACAAAUGUAUAAUGACAUAUAUCAUAAUGGUAUCAUACAGGGUAUUUUUACUGCCUUAAAAAUCCUUUGUGCUCUGCUUAUUCAACAUCCCUAGCCCUAACAUUUGACCACCACUGAUCACCAACUAUCUCCAUGUUUUAUCUUUUCCAGAGUGUCCUAGUGUUGGAAUCAUGCAAUAUGUAGCCUUUUCAAAUUGGCUUCUCUCACUACGUAAUUACAUUUAAAGUUCUUCCAUGUCGGGGUGCUUGGAUGGUGUAGUUGGUUAAGCCUCCAACUAUUGAUGUCAGCUCAGGUCAUGAUCUCAAGGUAUUGGAAUCAAACCCUGCAAUGGGCUCUAUGCUCAGUGAGGAGUCAGCUUGAGACUCUCUUUCCCCCUCCCUUUUCCCCUCCCACUCCUGCUCUCUCUCUCUCAAGCUCUUUCUCUCUCUCUCAAGUAAAUAAGUCUUUAAAAAAUAAUAAAGUUCCUUUAUGUCUUUAUGUCUUAUGAAACAUAAAGAGAAAUGAGAAAGCUCAUUUCUUUUUAGUAUAGAAUUAUAUUCCACUGUUUGGGUGGACUACAGUUUAUUUAUUUACCUACCAAAGGACAUUGUGAUUGCUUCCAAGUUGCAGCAUUUUUUAAUAAAGCUGCUAUAAACAUUUGUGUUUAUGUUUUUGAGUAGACAUAAGUUUUCAACUCCUUUGGGUAAAUACCAAGUAGUGUGAUUGCUGGACCAUUUGGGAAGAAUAUGCUUAGUUCUAUAAGAAACCACGAAAUGCUCUUCCAAAGUAUAUGUACCAUUUGGCAUCCCACUAGCAAUGAGUGAGAGUCCCUGUUGCCUCAUAUCCUUGCCAGCAUUUGCUGGUGUUGGAGUUCUGGAAUCUGGCCAUACAAAUAGGUAUGUAUUGGUGUCCUAUUGCCAUUUUAACUUGCAUUUCCCUGAUGACUAACGAUGUGGAGCAUGUUUUCAUGUGCUUAUUUGACAUCUGUAUAUCUUCUUUGAUGAGGUAUCUGUUAAGAUCUUUGGCUUCUCUUACUUGGACCCAUUUCCUUUUUUCUUGCACUUUUUGGUUGGAAAAAAAAAAGAUUAGUUGUUUGUCCCAGUGAAAUUCUCCAUUUUGGAUUUUGUUGAUUGCACCUAUAUAGUUUCAUUUAACAUGUUCUUCUCUUCCCUGCAUUUCUUAAGAACUAAUAUUUAGUUUUAAACUGAGGCUUGAUAAACAUCUGUUUUGGGACAUCUGGGUGGCUCAGCAGCUGAGCAUCUGCCUUUGGCUCAGGGUGUGAUCCUGGUCCAGGGAUCCAGUCCCGCAUCAGGCUUCUUGCAUGGAGCCUGCUUCUCCCUCUGCCUAUGUCUCUGCCUCUCUCUGUGUGUCUCAUGAAUAAAUAAGUAAAAUCUUAAAAAUAUUUUUUAAAAAGAUCUGUUUGGAACUAGAGGAGACUAUCAUUUCAGAGGUGAUAUUUCAAAUUUCUACCUUCCUUUAAGAUGUUCAAAAUGGGGACACCUGGGUGGCUCAGUGGUUAAGUGCCUGCCUUUGGUCCAUGGUGUGAUCCUGUAGACUCAGGAUUGGAUCGAGUCCUACAUCAGGCUCCCUGCAUGGAGCCUGCCUCUCUCUCUGUCUGUGUUUCUGCCUCUCUCUGUUUCUCAUGAAUAAAUAAAUAAAAA
Molecule: long non-coding RNA, 3648 nt
Filed under: Canis lupus familiaris (dog)
Lineage: Eukaryota; Metazoa; Chordata; Mammalia; Carnivora; Canidae
Description: lncRNA (ENSCAFG00000050448.1)
Source: RNAcentral